UGCGUAGGCGGAUAGUUAAGUGUCUUGUGAAAUCCCUCGGCUCAACCGAGGAACUGCAGGGCAUACUGGCUAUCUUGAGACAAGCAGGGGUGUAUGGAACUCUGGGUGGAGCGGUGAAAUGCGUAGAUAUCCAGAGGAACGCCAGCGGAGAAAUCGGUACACUGGGCUUGUUCUGACGCUGAGGUGCGAAAGCGUGGGUAGCGAACAGGAUUAGAUACCCUGGUAGUCC
This 229-nucleotide ribosomal RNA is filed under the name uncultured bacterium. Its description in RNAcentral is "partial 16S ribosomal RNA". It matches the Rfam family "Bacterial small subunit ribosomal RNA", at positions 568 to 796 of the family's 1533-position model. The record is from RNAcentral.